Molecule: long non-coding RNA, 698 nt
Filed under: Vigna radiata
Lineage: Eukaryota; Viridiplantae; Streptophyta; Magnoliopsida; Fabales; Fabaceae
Description: long non-coding RNA (VRAD_LNC014943)
Source: RNAcentral
GAAUGUGUUACUACGUUACCCCAAGAAAGGAACAAAACUGCACUAAAACACAAUACAAAGGAAACAAAUUUAAUCAGUUGAACCAGAAGAUAUAAUCGAUGAAAGACUGACAAAGAUUAAACGGUAACAAUAAAAACCACGCACCUAGGAUGCAAUGCCGCAAGAGAGAAAAAUGAGAGGAGGAAGACAAUGACGUUAUCAGAAACAACAAUGCAAUGCCGUAAGAGAUAAAAAGAAGAGGUGCCGCAAGCGAGAAAAAGAAGAGGUGAAGCAAGAGAAAAAGGAGAAGAGGAAGACGCGACAUCAAAAACUGAAUGUCGCGAAGAGUCUGCGGUUUAUUUAAAAUGAAAUGGGGCGUCAGUUGCUCCGGAAACCGACUUCUAUAGUCACAUAGACGUUGGGUAUCUAACUAAUAUGACAUUUAUGUUAACAUUUAAACUGACUUUUUGAAUACCCAUUAAACGUCGGUUUCGAGGGGAUCCGAAGUCUAGGAAGCUGAAUCGAUUGAUGUUUGAUUUCCUAUCAGGAACUUCACGACAGUUAUGAUGGGGCACCAACGUCUAUAAUAACUUAGACGUCGGUGCCCUUCUAGCCGACGUCUAUGUCCCUCGAGUUUGGUGAACAUAAUUAAUUACAGGCACAUAGACGUCUCUUCCCCUCAACACCGACCUCUAAAUUGUAGAAUUUUUGUCUUCCUG